Rattus norvegicus (Norway rat) is the source of this 64-nucleotide small nuclear RNA. Ensembl annotates it as U7 small nuclear RNA. NCBI's taxonomy places the organism in Eukaryota, Metazoa, Chordata, Mammalia, Rodentia, Muridae. The record is from Ensembl.
CAUAGCUCUUAGCCCUUUCAGAAUUUUUUCUAAUAGGAUUUCUGACCUUGGUUGGAAAUCCCAA